AAUCUAGCAGCUGUUUCAUUCAAAGGGAAAUUCACCAUGUUGUUGCUUCCACUUCAGGAGACAGCAGCUACACCCAACAGAUCAGCUGAUAUGCAUUCAUGGCAGGUGGCCUUCAAAUAUGAGAAGGAAUAAAGAAAAAAGAGAGAGAGACUUGGUGGGUGAGGAAUGAAGCAGAAAGAGGUAGACUUGUUCAGCCCAUGAUCUCACUAGGAAAGGAUCCAUAUCUUCUGAGGACUAAUCAACCAGAGUUCAUCCCUGCAGCAGUGCAAGUUCCUGUGUUUGUUAUCUAUGACUUUAAAUAUACCUCAGAUACCUGCCACUCUCAAGUCAACUCCACAAAGCAUAACAUCACUAUUGAAUGCUUAGGAUAUGGACAAAACAAGAAAUUAAAUGGCUUAAAGUGGUGGGGGAUGUGCUGCGUGUCGGCUGCUCUUUUCCUGCGGUAAAGGAAACCUAUGCUGCUCUAAGGAAUCCUGAUCUAGAUUGUAUUUUCUAUUUAUUAAAGUGUUCACAUGGGCAGAGUAGUGGAUGUGCAGUAAGUCCCCAUACCUUUAACUCGCUG
This is a long non-coding RNA of Alligator sinensis (Chinese alligator), 562 nucleotides long. RefSeq lists it as uncharacterized. The transcript has 3 exons. The record is from RefSeq and is a predicted model, not a curated record. Lineage: Eukaryota; Metazoa; Chordata; Crocodylia; Alligatoridae.